AGCAGCCGCGGUAAUUCCAGCUCCAAUAGCGUAUAUUAAAGUUGCUGCAGUUAAAAAGCUCGUAGUUGAAUUUCGGGAUCAAUAUGUUGGUCGUGCCUCGGUACGUACUAGCUUAUUGGUUUCUUCCUUCUGACGAACCAUAAUGUCAUUUAUUUGGCGUUAUGGGGAAUCAGGACUGUUACUUUGAAAAAAUUAGAGUGUUUAAAGCAGGCUCACGCUUGAAUACAUUAGCAUGGAAUAAUGAAAUAGGACGUUUGAUUCUAUUUUGUUGGUUUCUAGGAUCGACGUAAUGAUUAAUAGGGAUAGUUGGGGGCAUUAGUAUUCAAUUGUCAGAGGUGAAAUUCUUGGAUUUAUUGAAGACUAACUACUGCGAAAGCAUUUGCCAAGGAUGUUUUCAUUAAUCAAGAACGAAAGUUAGGGGAUCGAAGACGAUCAGAUACCGUCGUAGUCUUAACCAUAAACUAUGCCGACUAGGGAUCGGAUGAUGUUAAUUUUUAAUGUACUCAUUCGGCGCCUUACG
Molecule: unclassified non-coding RNA, 520 nt
Filed under: uncultured Glomus
Lineage: Eukaryota; Fungi; Glomeromycota; Glomeromycetes; Glomerales; Glomeraceae
Description: SSU rRNA
Rfam family: Eukaryotic small subunit ribosomal RNA
Source: RNAcentral